AAUAGAUACCCCGGUAGUCCACGCCGUAAACGAUGAAUGCUAGGUGUUAGGGGUUUCGAUACCCUUGGUGCCGAAGUUAACACAUUAAGCAUCCCGCCUGGGGAGUACGGCCGCAAGGCUGAAACUCAAAGGAAUUGACGGGGACCCGCACAAGCAGUGGAGUAUGUGGUUUAAUUCGAAGCAACGCGAAGAACCUUACCAGGUCUUGACAUCCCCCUGACCGGUACAGAGAUGUACCUUUCCUUCGGGACAGGGGAGACAGGUGGUGCAUGGUUGUCGUCAGCUCGUGUCGUGAGAUGUUGGGUUAAGUCCCGCAACGAGCGCAACCCUUGACUUUAGUUGCCAGCAAGUAAGGUUGGGCACUCUAGAGUGACUGCCGGUGACAAACCGGAGGAAGGUGGGGAUGACGUCAAAUCAUCAUGCCCCUUAUGACCUGGGCUACACACGUACUACAAUGGCCGGUACAACGGGAAGCGAAGCCGCGAGGUGGAGCGAAUCCUAGAAAAGCCGGUCUCAGUUCGGAUUGCAGGCUGCAACUCG
This 540-nucleotide ribosomal RNA is filed under the name uncultured bacterium. RNAcentral's name for it is "bacterial SSU rRNA". It matches the Rfam family "Bacterial small subunit ribosomal RNA", at positions 777 to 1314 of the family's 1533-position model. The record is from RNAcentral.